RNAcentral lists this ribosomal RNA (562 nucleotides) under uncultured Inquilinus sp. Its description in RNAcentral is "bacterial SSU rRNA". It matches the Rfam family "Bacterial small subunit ribosomal RNA", at positions 335 to 915 of the family's 1533-position model. Lineage: Bacteria; Pseudomonadati; Pseudomonadota; Alphaproteobacteria; Rhodospirillales; Rhodospirillaceae. The record is from RNAcentral.
ACUCCUACGGGAGGCAGCAGUGGGGAAUAUUGGACAAUGGGCGCAAGCCUGAUCCAGCCAUGCCGCGUGAGUGAUGAAGGCCUUCGGGUUGUAAAGCUCUUUCACCCACGACGAUGAUGACGGUAGUGGGAGAAGAAGCCCCGGCUAACUUCGUGCCAGCAGCCGCGGUAAUACGAAGGGGGCAAGCGUUGUUCGGAAUGACUGGGCGUAAAGGGCGCGUAGGCGGUUCGUUGCGUCAGAUGUGAAAGCCCCGGGCUCAACCUGGGAACUGCAUUUGAUACGGGCGGGCUUGAAUCCAAGAGAGGGUGGUGGAAUUCCCAGUGUAGAGGUGAAAUUCGUAGAUAUUGGGAAGAACACCAGUGGCGAAGGCGGCCACCUGGCUUGGUAUUGACGCUGAGGCGCGAAAGCGUGGGGAGCAAACAGGAUUAGAUACCCUGGUAGUCCACGCCGUAAACGAUGUGUGCUAGCCGUCGGGCAGCUUGCUGUUCGGUGGCGCAGCUAACGCGAUAAGCACACCGCCUGGGGAGUACGGUCGCAAGAUUAAAACUCAAAGGAAUUGACG